Molecule: unclassified non-coding RNA, 240 nt
Filed under: soil metagenome
Description: partial contains 5.8S ribosomal RNA, internal transcribed spacer 2, and large subunit ribosomal RNA
Source: RNAcentral
AACCUUAUGGACCUGCGGGCGUAUACCUGCGGAGGGAUCAUUACCGAGUGCGGGCCCUCGCGGCCCAACCUCCCACCCUUGUCUCUAUACACCUGUUGCUUUGGCGGGCCCACCGGGGCCACCUGGUCGCCGGGGGACGCACGUCUCCGGGCCCGCGCCCGCCGAAGCGCUCUGUGAACCCUGAUGAAGAUGGGCUGUCUGAGUACUGUGAAAAUUGUCAAAACUUUUAACAAUGGAUCU